Molecule: transfer RNA, 85 nt
Filed under: Candidatus Epulonipiscium sp.
Lineage: Bacteria; Bacillati; Bacillota; Clostridia; Lachnospirales; Lachnospiraceae
Description: tRNA-Ser
Rfam family: tRNA
About the family: Transfer RNA (tRNA) molecules are approximately 80 nucleotides in length.
Source: RNAcentral
GGAGAGUUGGCAGAGAGGCUUAUUGCAUCAGUCUUGAAAACUGAAGGCGGUAACACGUCCAAGGGUUCGAAUCCCUUACUCUCCU